CAUAUGUUAACUUAUUGAAUGCUGACAGCAGCCCUCUAAGGUUGAUGCCAUUAAUAUUUCCAUUUACAGAUGAGGAAACAGAAUCAUAGAAAGAUUAAAUAAUUUGCCCAAUGUCACACAGUAAGUGGCAGAGUUCAUAUCCCUUGAAGACAUGACCACCACGCUUCACUCCCCGCCUGUGACACAGAGGAAGGUCUGAGAUGAAGAGUCCUCUCCGCCACCAGAAGCAGCAGCGAAAACCCAUCCAAAGGGUUCAAGAAAAACUUUCAUUCUGAGAAGAGGAACAGGGUCAGGGGAGGCACGCCGGACUCCACAUAAUUUCUUCCUUCAAUUUUGAAGGGGAGUCGAGGGCUGGACCAUCAAGGCUUUAGUCUGAAUUCAGGCCUAAUGUGAGAAUUAAAGAACAGAAACCGCCAGACUAA
RNAcentral lists this long non-coding RNA (422 nucleotides) under Pan troglodytes (chimpanzee). RNAcentral describes it as "lincRNA". The record is from RNAcentral. Lineage: Eukaryota; Metazoa; Chordata; Mammalia; Primates; Hominidae.